This 108-nucleotide small RNA is filed under the name Staphylococcus aureus. The record is from RNAcentral. Lineage: Bacteria; Bacillati; Bacillota; Bacilli; Caryophanales; Staphylococcaceae.
ACAUAAGGCACCUCGUUAAUUUAGUUUAGUGGUAUUUAUUAAAUUAUACGAAAGUGUCUUAUUUUUUUAAAGUAUUUCAAAGUAAAAUUACAUGUUAAUACGUAGUAU